Molecule: ribosomal RNA, 265 nt
Filed under: uncultured Oscillospiraceae bacterium
Lineage: Bacteria; Bacillati; Bacillota; Clostridia; Eubacteriales; Oscillospiraceae
Description: partial 16S ribosomal RNA
Rfam family: Bacterial small subunit ribosomal RNA
Source: RNAcentral
CUUGCUAUGAGCUGUUUUAGCGGCGGACGGGUGAGUAACGCGUGAGCAACCUGCCUUUCAGAGGGGGAUAACGUCUUGAAAAGGACGCUAAUACCGCAUGAUAUUAUGGAGCCACAUGGCUCUAUAAUCAAAGGAGCAAUCCGCUGAAAGAUGGGCUCGCGUCCGAUUAGGUAGUUGGCGGGAUAACAGCCCACCAAGCCGACGAUCGGUAGCCGGACUGAGAGGUUGAACGGCCACAUUGGGACUGAGAUACGGCCCAGACUCC